RNAcentral lists this ribosomal RNA (545 nucleotides) under uncultured Glomeromycotina. Its description in RNAcentral is "SSU rRNA". It matches the Rfam family "Eukaryotic small subunit ribosomal RNA", at positions 548 to 1097 of the family's 1831-position model. The record is from RNAcentral. Lineage: Eukaryota; Fungi; Glomeromycota.
UUGGAGGGCAAGUCUGGUGCCAGCAGCCGCGGUAAUUCCAGCUCCAAUAGCGUAUAUUAAAGUUGUUGCAGUUAAAAAGCUCGUAGUUGAAUUUCGGGGUUCUACCGUUGGUCGGGCUAUUGUCUGUACUGGCGUGUAGAAUUUCUACCUUCUGGGGAACUAUCAUGUUAUUAAUUUAGCGUGGUAGGAAACCAGGACCUUUACCUUGAAAAAAUUAGAGUGUUCAAAGCAGGCUUAUGUCUGAAUACAUUAGCAUGGAAUAAUAAAAUAGGACGGUGGUCCUGUUUUGUUGGUUUCUAGGAUUGACGUAAUGAUUAAUAGGGAUAGUUGGGGGCAUUAGUAUUCAAUUGUCAGAGGUGAAAUUCUUGGAUUUAUUGAAGACUAACUACUGCGAAAGCAUUUGCCAAGGAUGUUUUCAUUAAUCAAGAACGAAAGUUAGGGGAUCGAGGACGAUCAGAUACCGUCGUAGUCUUAACCAUAAACUAUGCCGACUAGGGAUCGGACGAUGUUAACUUUUCUUGACUCGUUCGGCGCCUUACGGGAAA